CCUUUCUGCGGCCCGGUCACACCAGGGCUCUGCAAGCACAGCUGCUGACCGUUAAUGAUGAAGAAUAUCUGUGGUUAUUACACUGAUCUGCAGAAGCUGCAACUGCUCCAGAAACUAGGUCAGCAGAGAACAAAGAUUUACUUUUCUACAGGCUGAGCUAGCUCGGAGCUAUAGUUUCCAAUAUGCUAUCCAAAAUACACUGACGUACCUUUCUGUUCCAUCGCUUACCAUUUUCCCUGAGAUGCAGAACUUGCUUCUCGCCGGUUUCCAGAGCAAAUCCCUUUCCUCACGGAGACACUGUGGAUGCUGCCGCUCCCGUCUGCAGUCCCACCCGAGUCCAUGACAUCACCCCAAUAUCACGCCGUGGAGCAGCAGUUAGGAAUGAAGGCAGCCAUCAGCAGCCUGUGCCAGCUGAGCUGCUCUCUGCAGUCAUGCAGGGGAAACAAAGCCUUGCACAGAUGUGUUGAAAAGGCAGUUUGAGAAGUUUUAUCUCUCUCGCUUGCAAGCGGAAUGUUUAUAGUGGGCGCUGAGUUCUGAAAGCAAACUUUCGUAGAAAAAAAUAGUUGGCCUUUGGUUCUGCAGUUAUGGUUCCUGUGUUCCACGGACGCUUCCAAUUGCCUGAACAACUGCCUCCCAGAGCACAGCUCCCCGUGCUGCCGGGUCAUAUCUGUGAUGGUCGCCAUUGCUUUCCUCGGUGAUCUGAGCCACACUGAGAAUUUGGGGGUAUUGGGAUCCAUAGUGGUAUUUUGGGUUCAGUGAAGCAAAUGGGUUUGCUUUGACUUCAGGAAUGCAGGAUUUCAGUUUCAGUUUGUAGCCUGCCGUAAGCCAACGCGGGGAGCACUGUGGAUGAAAUGUGCACUCAGAAGUUCAUGCCACUACGCGGCAGCAGCUUCCACACUGCGCAUCAAAUGGAGCUCUUCCGCAGCUGGUGGCUGAAUUCUCAGCUGCAGUGACGUUUUGGGAGCAGGCAGAGAUCAGUGUGGCUCAGCCAGAGUCCGAUGGGCUGGGGCCAAGAGCUGGGAUUUUGUUACAACAGCGAUGAGGCAACAGGAGCCAGGCACAGGGACCUCCUCUCACCUUCCCCGUGCCGCAGAACCUCUUCAUCCUCAUUUCUCCAAAAGCGACUUUAGGUUUCUGUAUUCCUAAUUGAUCAGUGUUCUCAUCUGAGAAGUAAAAACACAAGUCAUUUAGAAUGGCAGACUACAAAACUAGCCGGCAUGCACCCAGUUCUCCUCCUUUCUCACCUGUAACCUGUUCUGGCCUCUCUAACAUUUACACCUGGGGGCCCCCAGCACUCACCUGUGCUAAAGUUUGUGGUUCCUUGUGGCUUCUUGCUGGAGUGGGGCACUGUAUGGGUGGAAUGAAAGCAACUAUCCAGAAAAAAAGCUGUGAAGUCCCUGAAGCUCACUGGCAUGAAGUGAAGGCAGAGGCACGGGGUACACCUCGUGCAGAGCCUCCAAAGGUUAGCAUGGUGUGCAUCACAAAAGCCAUGAGAUGUCAGUAGAGCUAUCCCCAUACAUUGGGCGAGUAUGUUUUUAAUGACAAAAUUAGUUACUGGAAAACGACAAUUGCUGCAAACGACGUGAUUAUCAAAGUGUAAUAAAAACCACAACUACUUGACAUGUGAUUGCACUAUCAAAACUAAGUACUGGAAUUAGUAAUGCAUGUCAGGUCGAUAACAAGUUUAAUUCAAUCAAAACCGUGCCUAAUUGGCUGGGUCACCAACCAGAAAAAAAAAAAUAAUCCAUCUGGAGCACUCGGGGUGAAAGACUGGUGGAAUACAUAUGAAAGGAGGAAAGCAGAGUCGGUUACUCUCGCACGUCUGCUUGCUUCUCGAGACUUCGGGGGUUUGGCAGCUCGAAAUUGCUCUGGAGCGGCUCGAUACCGCCCUGAGGAGAGCGACGGUCUUGUGGAAGCUGUAAUUCUGCAGAGACGCCGCAGGGAGGUGCCACCUGCCUUCAGAAUGAGGCGGUCGGCCCCGCACCAAAUCCUCGUUUUCCUUUCAGGGUUUGAAACCGAACGGCUUUCAGCGGGGAAAUCGGGAUUUCACCAGCAUCGGGGCACAGAAGAUGUACAGCACAGAUUGUAUCUGAUCUAUUACAGAGCCACUGAACAUAGGCAAUUACACCCAAGGAUAAUAACACACGAGUGGCCUUCGUAAAAUCUCCAAAUGCAGCAGGGAGUGACACGGCAUCCUACCACGAUGCCUGCUAACAACCCGGCACUGCCAUUGCAGUUCCCUGCUCAGAGCGUGCUGUCGCCAGGGCUUCGUGCACAGCCAGGGCUCGGGAGUGAGGCCUAUAUGGCCGUACCGUGGUUGUCUCACAUGACAGAGAGCAGAUGUGUAAGCCCCAUCCUUUAGCAGAUCAAGCCCGGGGAAGGUGUCAGCCUCCCCACCUCCGAAGCUCUGGGGCUGUGGGAGACUGUCAGGCACAGCCUCAGAGGGAAUAAGGCCCUGGGUGUCUCAUGAAAACCUUGCCAGCUCUCGGUUAAGGAGAGGACUCAGGGGCAGUCUGGCUCCCCAGCCACCGCAGGAGAUGGCCUCUCCUUGGAAGACAUUUUAAGCGGCUGAAUUUUCACCACAGAACAUGCUGAUAAAGGGAUUGGAGUGGCUUACUAAAUUCAUGCUUCCUUACACCCAAGUGUGUUCUCUGCACUCUGUUCCCAGGGCAUUUUUAAGCAUUUUUUUUCUCGUUCUCUUUGAAAAAGGGUGAAUGGUGUGUGCUAACUGCAAGGAAGGUACCAGAGCCUCAGCAAAGCGCGUGCAGAGGGCACAUAAAAUACCUGAUAGGAGCAUAUGUAUAAGAGCAGAUGCUAAACAAUGACAAAUGGAACGUGGACAAGCAGAAAAACUUGGAGAGAUUAUGAAUGUGGAUAGGGCAGAAAGAACUUUAAAAGUUCUUCCCAGUAGGGUGGUCAGGCCCUGGAAGAGAUGGGCAGGGUUGCUGUGGCGUUUCCCGGAGAUACGACCUUGAGCGACCCGAUCUACUUGUGAAGCUCCACUUGGAGGAGGACACUGCACUGAGUGACCUCCGGAGACCCCUUCCAAACUCAUAUCUUCAACAGUCGUCUGGUUCAGAAAAAAAAAAAAAAGAAAAAAGAAAAAAAAAGUAUCAAGGAGAAACAAGCAAAUCAGAAGGAGAUCCCUCUGAGUAUGUGGAAGGAGAUGUGAGGCCCUGGCAGUAGGCAUUUUUGAUGGGAGCCAAAUGCAGUAAUGCUACUGCCUGGAAGUCCUGCUCUGACUCAUCCCAGGACACAUUUCUGCAAGGCACAGCAAAAAGGAGAAGUGACUGCUGAUGCCUGAACGGUGGGGGAGGGGAGCUGGCCCCAUGGAAGCUCAGAACAGGGAAUUUUAGUCUUACUCAUCAUAUUAUUUUUACAUUUGGUUUUUCAGAUGUAAACCUCAGUGUUUCUGUCAGCAUGUUAACUCUGUGAGCACCACAAAUUUGUCUGCUAGCCCCAGUGUCUCCUUUAUGCCCAUUCCCAUGUACAGACACAAAACUUCCAGCUGGGAGCUCUCUUUGACUCACUACAGCUUAUUAAUGCUUGCAAGGAUUAAAAGGAAUGCCACAGGAGUGCUGGUUAAUCUGGGCAGGUUUCAGUGUAGUACUGGAGAAAGGAGGAGAAAAAUGGGCCUGGUCUAGGAAAGACAUAGCCAGAGCCUGAUGAGUUAAAUGAGGCAGAUGAGAUGAAGAGAAUUUAUGCAAGUUCACUGACAGUCCUCCUGAAAAGGUGCCCUACCUAGUCUUAACAAAUGUAAGCAAGAAAAGGAAGGGGAACUUUGUAUAUGGCAAUGAAUGACAAAGCUCUAGGAGGUCAAGCAGAAGGUAGACUUUAGCAGAAGACCAGCAUGGGUUUCUUCCUUGCUAAGGCUUCAGACUUAAAUAAUGAGGCCACAAUCUAGUGUAUCAGUAUGUGUGUGAUACGCACUCCUUAUGUUAUAUCUAAAAGUAAUUAAUGUUGUGUUCUAAACAUGAAGGAUGUUUUUCUGAUGUCCUUCAGUGUUCAGAAAUGAAAAUCACUGUACCGUGAUUUUUUCAAUCUAACACAUUCUUCAUGUAUACAGGAUACAGCUCAAAAGGCUGUAGCUCAAUAUGGAUGUUUCAGUAUUAGUGUUGCAGACACAAAUACCAAGAUUCACACUUUUUUUCUCCUCAUAGAGUGAGGUCUGCAUCUCUUCACAAUGAGACUCUUAUUCUGAAUUCUAGUGCCAAGAUUCACACUCUCAGCUAUUGCAAGUAGUGAGACCUGUGCUGUCAGCUCCAAACUACACAGUGGUACAUAUCCUUUAAGUGGCACAGUAAUCACUUGUCAGGGCUGUAAGAUUUGUGUUUACAAUCUAAGACGUGGCAUCGAAAAAGGGUUAAAUAUCAAGGCCAUAUAAUGAAGGGGGGCACAUGGAGUGCAAAGGGAUCCCCAAAGCAGUGAUGGUGUGAUUCUGGACAAUACCCUCCACAAAGCCAUAACAGCUGGAAUUAAAUUGUCCAUCUUCUUAAAUGCAGGAGGAUCCAUUAUUAGUAUUCCCCACUCAAAUUCUAGGUUCAAGCAUUCUUGUCCACUCCAUUUUCUUCUUAUAAGGACCACAACUGCGUAGUUUUGAAGUCAGUAAUUUACAGUCUUAUUCCAGACUCUUGGUGAACUCACACAAUCUCCCUUUGGCUAAAAUACAAAACUUCACAGUAGGCAGGUACAAACAGUUCUCUAAGAAGACCAAGGAGAACAUCUCCUGCUAUGUUUGAAUUUGACAUGCUGCAUUACAGAAUUCAUUCUCCAAGGUGGAAGAAUACUUUAAGAUUAGGGUUUUUCCAUUUUUAUUUGUCUACAGUGACAGAGGCUGUAUGAAGCUGGCACUAAAGAAGGUGUCACAGAUAGCAAAGGUCAUCUGAGGUACUUAAAAGUAGGUGGGGGAAGCCCUUUUUUCCCCUCCUCUUGCUGGCAAAGAAGCCCAGGACUGGAACAAUAGUGGGAGUGCCACCGGCAGACAUUAUUACAUAGGAGGAUUCAGAACAAGAAUAGCAAAGAGAAUUGCCACUGAAGCUCAGCUGGCAUUCGCUGUUACGUAGUCAUCUGAGAAGCUUGAAGUUUUGAUUAAACAGAGCAGUUUACAUGCAACACUCAUCAUAUCAGCAAUCCAGUACAGAGAAAUGUUUUCCUGCGGCUAUGGUGCUGUAACCGGACUCCCCACAAACCAAUUUUGAGCGGGGACAUGGAAAAGGAGGCAUGGGCUAGGAUUUGGAAAGCAUUUGACAACAUGGAAAAACAGAACACAGGGGAAAUAAAGGCAUAGGGAAUGCAAAUGACCAGUUAAUCAGCUGAGGAACUAGUAAAUUAACCCAGUAUCCUGGAUUACAAACAAGACGUCAAGCAGUGGAUCACACUCUCAAAGAUCAGGGAGGCUUCAAUUUCUGUAGCACACCGAGUGUGAAACACUUAAAAAGCACUUAUCUCCCGCUAAAGGCUUUAGAAGGCCUCACUCUUCAUGAACUGCACUCUGACAAGGAUUAUUUAUUGGAGGAAUACCUGGUAGCCUUAAUGUCCAACUGAUAGUACUUGAAACCAAGUGAGAGAGAGAGCUCAAGAUGUAUGAAAAUCAAGACUUGAGGGUCUAAGAGGUGAAAAAUUGCUUUCCCUACACAUUGAAAAGCUGUGAAAAAAGAACUUAAGAAGUUCUUAAGAAGAAGUGCCAGAGUUAUUAAUACUAAUGUUGGAUAGGCCGAAAGCAGAAAUGCAAUCUCCAUAAAUGCUAAGUUAGAAAGAGGUGAGGAUGAAUAUCAGACCUCUGGAAGACAUCUG
This is a long non-coding RNA of Gallus gallus (chicken), 5793 nucleotides long. RefSeq lists it as uncharacterized. The record is from RefSeq and is a predicted model, not a curated record. NCBI's taxonomy places the organism in Eukaryota, Metazoa, Chordata, Aves, Galliformes, Phasianidae. The transcript is spliced from 7 exons.